UUCAUUGCAGCAUCUCCGAACCUUGAAAGUACCUGGCAAACAGAUAACUGCCUGUUCUUGGGAAGGUGGAUCACUUCGCAUUGCAUUAGCUGUGGACUCUUUUAUCUAUUUUGCUAACAUCCGUCCUGAUUACCGAUGGUGCUUCUUUGCCAACACAGUUGUGUACACAUAUACUAAACCUGAGCGUUCUGAGGCUUGUGUUACGUUCUGGGAUAAUUGCAACAAUGAGCACUUCAUCAAGCACAUCAAAUAUUUAAUGGGAAUGGCUUCAUCUGGGGAUCAUUGUGUACUGGCAGUGCGCACAGAUGAUGGAUCAGGACAAUUUGGGCUCAUUAUCUGCAAUGCUAUAGGGACACCUGUUGACACCUGGUGUCGUCUGCAUCACACCUGCCACACUCACAACCUGCCUCUCCCCUUCGCUCCACCGUAAUGAAUUACUCACCUGCCAGCCCUUCAUCAGGCAUUGUGGAUGAUCCCAGUCGAGAGGCCUUAAAGGAGGAGCAGUAAUACCUUCAGUAUAAUUAAUGAGGCCUCUACAGCAGCCAUUAUGAGUGUAGUGUGGCAGCCGUACGUGUGUGUGUGUGUGUUGAUGGCACAGUGGGGAUGGUACCAAUGUACAGGCCAUGUGAGGCAGGCAGCAGACGACGAGUCACCGCUACUGCAAUCCAGUUGACUUCCCACAUCUACUUGCUUCUCAUUUAAUUUAUUUUUGAUUAACACACAAUACAACUGUAUAAAGUAACUGUACCUGUGUAGUAUUUAGAUGGCUUAAAUAAAGUAUUUUUUCUCA
Homarus americanus (American lobster) is the source of this 790-nucleotide long non-coding RNA. RefSeq lists it as uncharacterized. NCBI's taxonomy places the organism in Eukaryota, Metazoa, Arthropoda, Malacostraca, Decapoda, Nephropidae. The record is from RefSeq and is a predicted model, not a curated record. The transcript has 4 exons.